AAAAAAUAAACAUUCCACUAAAAAUCUAAAAUCCGGCAUUACAGGAAAAAUGAGUAGCUCUUGCCUUUGUAAGAAAAAAUUAGAACGAGGAAAAGGUAGUUUUUUCGGCAUACCAAAGGAGGAGAAGACAAAAUAUGUGAGGCCCACUUUAAUGCGGAGCAUUUUAUAAAAGCGGGUAAAAAUAAAAUAUUAAUGCCAAUUGCUGAACCUGUCAUUGAUUAUACAUUUCCUCGCAAACCAGUGUAAGUUAUUUUAAAGUGAAUUUCUUAAUGGACUUAGUGAAUAGGUUCGCCAUUUAUUACAACGGUUAAAUUACACUAUGCAACACUCUCUUUGGGGUGGUAUAGGGUAUAAAAACUUUAAAAUAAAUAACUUUAAGUUAUCAUGAGAAUUUUUGUGUCUCUGCUAGUUAAAUUCGAAUUUAACUUCACACUUUGAUAUGUUUUUUAAAGAGUUAUUUGUGAUAUUAUUUACCUAUAGAACGGCAUCACUCGAACAUGAAAGAUGUUCUCAAGUUUCGAACAUCAUUUCCAAUGAACACUUUCUAAAUGUGAUUAGAACAUCCCCAAGUUUCAGAGGUAUGCACAACUGUUGACUCCGUUUUUUUGUAAAGAACUUCAACUCCCUAUUAACAAUAUUGAUACCUCUAUGAUUGACCUAUCUGUACCCAAAUCUUCCGCUAUAAAAGAACCUUCUAUAAUUGUAGAAUACUUAAAUGAACGCGAAACACAAACAGUAAGGGGAAUACACAUUUUUAAAGUAUUGAACUUUAUAUUUUAAAUUCCAACUACUUUUAUGCAUAUAGCCUAGUACAUUUUGCAGAUAGUAAGAACAAAUAUUUGGAAAGAAUUUGCGAGCUAGAAAAUGGAAACAAAGAACUAAAAUUGAAACUAGAUCAAACUAAUUUAGCUAUUGAAGCUAUGAGAAAAAUUUUUACAGAGGGUCAGAUAAGAAAAUUGAAACAACCAGGAGGAGUCCAGUGUCAGUGGACUGAUAUUUCUAGUGCAAUUUGUUUGCAUUCAUCUGGGCCACGAGCCUAUAACCACCUUUAUAAGAAAGGUCAUCCUCUUCCUAAUGUUUCUACAUUACAACGGUGGUGUCGAAAAAUAAACCUAACUGAAGGCAUUUUAUCCACAUCAAUCGAUUUUAUGCGGCAAGCUACCGAUAUGUCCCUUGAGGAUAGGAUUUGUGUAAUUGCAUUCGACGAAAUGAAGUUGCAGAAACCUUCGAAUAUGACACAUUAGGUGAUGUUGUCCGAAAACCGGCAAAUUACAUUCAGGUGGUUAUGGUUCGUGGCUUAAAAAAGUCGUGGAAGCAACCAGUUUUCAACGACUGUGAUUGCAAAAUGACUGUCGAAAUUCUAAAUAGCGUUAUUUGUGCCCUAAGUGACGCUGGUUUUCUUCUAGUAGCGAUGGUUUGUGAUAUGGGCCCUUGUAAUAGAAAACUGUUAAACGAUUUAGGUGUAUCUAAAGGUAAGCAUAACUUUGUAAUCAAAACUGAACAUACUCCAGACUCCACCUUCACAUUACAACCAUUCUUGAAAAUUCACACAAUACAUAAAGGAAUUUCAAUUUUAAAAUUCUGAUUUCCUUUAAUACACACCUUAAUUAAUAUUCUACAUAACUUACACAACAACUUAUUGUUAGUUUUAGAUACUAAUAUAAUAUCUUUAAUUUCAAAUCGUAACUUAAGAAAAACCAUGGUUUCCUAGUCCAGUUAAAUCCGAUUAGAAAAUAUUUACUUUUUAUGAUGCACCACAUCUUUUGAAACUAAUUAGGAACCGUUAUUUGGAUACCGGAAUAAUUUACAAGGGACAACACAUAAUAAUAAUAAUAAUAAUACUUUUGGAUACCCUGGGAAGGUUAUUUAACAAUUUUUAUUAACUGCCUUAUAACAAUUUAUCAAAGGUUUGUAUAACAUAUUUUGUAUGAAAAAUUGUCUUAUAAACUUCUGAUAAAUUGUUAUGAAUAACAUAUUCUAAUCCCUUAAGGAACCAUAUGGAAAAGAUCUUCAAAAUCAACAAAAUAAGUUGGCUCUGAUGAAUGAGUUGAUGUCAAUUCCACUUAUCCCUGGAAAGAAAUCAUUGGAGUUUUUCCAGAAGGGAAUUUUAAUAACAAAUAAAGCCCUAGAUAUGCUUUAUGAAUACUGCGCAACAAAGUUUGGCAUGUCAUACCUGUUAACAAGUCGCUUUAACCAAGAUGUUUCAGAAAAAAAAUUUGGAGCCAUAAGAAGUAAAGGUGGCCUUUAUGACCAUCCUUUCCCAAAAGAAUUCAAAUACAGGCUACGAAAAUACAUCUUGGAUAUAUGUAAAAUAAUUUUCUAUGUAAUAUUUGUAAAAAUAUUAAUUUUAAUUCAGCAAGAAACACAGAAUGCCUAAAAAACACUAGGAACGUGCAAAAUGACGAUACGAAUGGUUUACUUUUGAAAAUGCAACAAUUAAUACUGUGUGCGAAGAAAACGUUCUUGAUCCCGGCCAAGAAUUGGAAUUAGAAGAAAGCGAUUUGCAUGACCUAGAUGUGAAGACUUUUCAUGACAUUGGUGCCCUUCAAGAGGAUGCUUUAGAAUAUAUAUCUGGCUAUAUUAUUAGAAAGCUUAAUCUUGAAGGGUACGAAUGUAAUGAAAAUUCUUUCACAUGAGUCGACCAGGUGUCAAGGGGUUCCCUAAAAAAACCAGCUUACUAGUUUGUGGAAAACAUAAAAAAUUGGAAUAUGUAUUCCAUAAAAUAAAUAAAUCCCAAAUAGCACACUGUCGGAAUCUCCAUAAGCUCAUGGUCAGGGAAAGCCAGUCGAUUGAUCUGCCGAUAAUAUAAAAUCUUUUUUUUUUUUUUCAAAUGCCGGAUAUAUUUUCGUAUAAAACAUUUAAAUAAACGCCUCAAGCUUCAAAAACAAAAAUUAAUUGGCAGUAAUAAACCACUUAAAAUCAACUUGUAAACGUUCACCUCCAAUACCAAGACAUAACAUUCUCUCAGCUUGUAAACCAAAACCAAACAUUAAUCAAGAGUGUCAGUGUUAAGGACUCUAGUCAAGAAUCUGAACAGGCAAAUGUGACUGGUUGAUGUGAAUCAUGAAGUUGGUUGGCUGGAAGUUUAUAUUUGGUGACUCGUAAAUCCUUUUCUUUGAUGUUUUCUGUAUACCAAUAUCCUAAUAUAUUUUCUAUAUACUAUGAAUUUAAUCAUAAGUGAAAUAUAUUUAUAUUUUCCCAAGACAUCGAAUUUGUAAAAUUUUAAAAUUGAUUUUCAUUACGAAAAUUAAAUAAAAUUUGUUGUACAAUAGAUUGUGUUCGGAACUGUAUUUUCUUUGCCUUUGGUUUUACUGUCAACAAAAAAAAAACUUGACUCUAUUUACAAAACAAAACUACAUAUGAGAGUACAAAUUAAGUUUCAUCUUCAUGAAUUCCAUAAAGUCGCUAAUAAAGUCUGGACGUGUUAGUCUACUGCUUUAUGACUUACUUUAUUGGAAUCAUUUCGAAUCGAUACUUAACUGCUCAUAAAAUAAACACCGCAACCAGGCAUGGCUGUUACACAUUCCGAGACUUGUGUUAAUGAUAUAAUCCUUUGAGUAUUGAUAUGUAUGGCAUUUUUAAAGAAUGCUCAUACGUUAGGCACCAUAAAUGUGAGGAACUUUUGAGUAAGUGGUAUCGGCACGCUGGUGGUCGCACGGCAUUAGCUCGUAUGCCGUUCGUAUGGUAUGACAAUAUUGCAGCCAUCCUUGGUUCUAUUGAACUCGUAUUUGCUAUGACUAAAACCCCUAAACAAAACUUACCAGAAACCACAAUUCACACCAUUACCUUGUCUAAUUUAUCUUUCCAUGAUUGACAACAAUUGU
This is a long non-coding RNA of Lucilia cuprina (Australian sheep blowfly), 3824 nucleotides long. RefSeq lists it as uncharacterized. The transcript has 3 exons. NCBI's taxonomy places the organism in Eukaryota, Metazoa, Arthropoda, Insecta, Diptera, Calliphoridae. The record is from RefSeq and is a predicted model, not a curated record.